Molecule: ribosomal RNA, 245 nt
Filed under: uncultured bacterium
Lineage: Bacteria
Description: partial 16S ribosomal RNA
Rfam family: Bacterial small subunit ribosomal RNA
Source: RNAcentral
GGGGGUGCAAGCGUUGUCCGGAAUCAUUGGGCGUAAAGCGUUCGUAGGCGGCAUACCAAGUCUGGUGUUAAAGACCGGGGCUCAACUCCGGAUGGGCAUUGGAUACUGGUAAGCUAGAAUGUGGUAGAGGUAAAGGGAAUUCCUGGUGUAGCGGUGAAAUGCGUAGAUAUCAGGAGGAACACCGGUGGCGUAAGCGCUUUACUGGGCCAUAAUUGACGCUGAGGAACGAAAGCCGGGGGAGCAAA